UAGGGAAUAUUGGACAAUGGGGGCAACCCUGAUCCAGCCAUGCCGCGUGAGUGAUGAAGGCCUUCGGGUUGUAAAGCUCUUUCAGUGGGGACGAUGAUGACGGUACCCGCAGAAGAAGCCCCGGCUAACUUCGUGCCAGCAGCCGCGGUAAUACGAAGGGGGCAAGCGUUGUUCGGAUUUACUGGGCGUAAAGCGCACGCAGGCGGCGAUAUAAGUCAGAGGUGAAAUCCCUGGGCUCAACCUGGGAAUUGCCUUUGCUACUGUAUUGCUGGAGUCCAAGAGAGGGUGGCGGAAUACCCAGUGUAGAGGUGAAAUUCGUAGAUAUUGGGUAGAACACCGGUGGCGAAGGCGGCCACCUGGCUUGGUACUGACGCUCAUGUGCGAAAGCGUGGGGAGCAAA
This 400-nucleotide ribosomal RNA is filed under the name uncultured bacterium. Its description in RNAcentral is "bacterial SSU rRNA". It matches the Rfam family "Bacterial small subunit ribosomal RNA", at positions 355 to 772 of the family's 1533-position model. The record is from RNAcentral.